AGUUAAAUACGUCACAAGGCGGAAUAAAGGAAGGAGAAGUGUAAACGAAAUUGCUAUACAAUGUCUACAGCUGCCUGGCGGGGGGCGCAGUGCGGUGGUUCUAAAAAUAAAACAAGAAAACGCAGAGCUCGCAGAGUUCGCGGCAGCGGGAGAGCUGCAGUUAAGUAGAGCUUAAGACAGAGAGAGAAAAAAAGAGCAGCCGUUGGGCGAAGCUUAAAUCAAAGGCAGAGGCAGAGGGAGAACACAGUAAGCGCAGAGCACGAGAGCGAAUCUGGAAGCAGAGACAAAGAAGAAGCAUAUACGUACUUCUAUAUCUAUUUCUAAAGCUUUAUGCUUUGCACAUGGCUGGCAUAGAACGAAUGGACCUGCGAGGGUAUCAAAGCUUCGGAUUGAUUCGCAGCUAUCUCAUCUGAUAUUUGCAGUGGGAAUCGCUGACAGCUUGUUGCGGCGGCUGCGGCUGAGCCACGCACCGGACGCACAGAGGCAUAAAUUCCCGCGACAGUGGUCUGUCAUUCAGGGAAAUGUCCCAUGCAGCUUAAUGAGCAGUGCGGACUAUAUUGUCUAUUUAGCAGCCAGAAAGUGAGGAAAUCAGGAGACAAGACAGAAGACACAAGAAGAGUGCAAAUUAAUUCCCACUUUGUUUCAGUUUACUAUUAAAAGCCACCCACUGUGCCAGAAAUGCCGUGCCACCACCAA
This is a long non-coding RNA of Drosophila pseudoobscura, 696 nucleotides long. RefSeq lists it as uncharacterized. The record is from RefSeq and is a predicted model, not a curated record. The transcript is spliced from 2 exons. Lineage: Eukaryota; Metazoa; Arthropoda; Insecta; Diptera; Drosophilidae.